CAGCUAUAUCACAUUGAAACAUCGGUUCCAUAUGAUCACCAAAGUUAAGCAACAUCGAGCCUGGUCAGUACCUAGGAUGGGUGACAGCUUGGGAAUACCAAGUGCU
Acanthosepion pharaonis is the source of this 106-nucleotide non-coding RNA. Lineage: Eukaryota; Metazoa; Mollusca; Cephalopoda; Sepiida; Sepiidae. The record is from the annotation of a GenBank genome assembly.